UCCUGAAUCAGCCUGCCUUCCUUGGGACCGAGGCCUAGACACUCCCAUCCCUGCCUGUGCCAUCACCUUCAUAUGGAGGCUAUCUUUGAAGUGCCCGUGGCCAGCUGUGACUGGCCCUACCCACAGGCCACCACGCCCAGCUGCCCAGAGGAAUGGAAUCACAGCCAGUGGCUGGGCAGCUGAGAGUAGCUGUGCCCAUGGCAACGGUCAUCUGAGAUGAGCUUCCUCUCCACCUGGCCUCAGGUUUCUGGCCCAGAGAGAAUUCCAGAAGAGCCUCAUUGAAGGUCCCUGGCAGGGUGGGGCCCUGCUGUCUGGGACAAAAGCUUGCUAUUCUCGGGACCAGGGUGGACAGAGCACUGAUUGUCUGCAGCCUCUUUGUGUGCAGUCUCUGUGGCUUCUUGGUAAAUGGAAGAUGUGAUUUCAUGGGGAACCUGGGAGACCAUCAGACCCUGUCUCCUCCCUGCUGUGUGACUGUGGGGAGGUUCCUUCACCUCUCUGGGCGUGCUUCCUCUUGUGCAGCUGGAUAGAGCUCAUGAAGGCAGAGCCCUACACAGUGCCUCUGGCACACAGCAAGCAGUGCAUAAAUGCAUACUUGUUAGCCCUGGUGCUUCCCCUACCCUUUCCUCCCUAGUUUCCUGUGUUUUUCCUUCUUUUCGUCAUGAUUUGAGCCCCUGUGUGGCAUUCACUGGGGAAAGAGCAAAGAAGGCAGACCAGAAUGUCUCUCCAUAUCUCCCACCCCACGCCUAUCCCUGAUCUCAUCCUAGGGGGUGUGAACAGGGACCCCCCUCGGUGGGUCCUGAGGCACACAGGACAGUGGGAAGCGGUUGCUUAGUGGCUGAAAGGUGCAGUUGGAAUUCAGAAUAUCCUGGAUUUGAAUCCUGAUGGCACCAUUGGCAGGUAUCUAUCUCCUCGGGUAAAAGGCUUUCACUGUGUGUGGAGCCUCAGUCUGUCGGUCUGCAAAAGGUAGGGGAGAAGACCUGCCCAUGGGAGGGGUGGUUGAGAUGAAGAUGAUGGGGAGGAGGGAAGAGGGGCUGAGAGGCUGGUGCAGGAGGGGCUGAGAGGCUGGGAUUUGCAGGGGUCCAACCCCACAUGGUGGCCUUGGCUACAUCCAUACCUCAGAGACCCAUUCCAGGCCCCCAGGGACCCCGACAUUAACUCUUGGCCUAAACCAACCCCCAGCUGGG
RNAcentral lists this long non-coding RNA (1184 nucleotides) under Homo sapiens (human). Its description in RNAcentral is "long non-coding RNA NONHSAT232379". Lineage: Eukaryota; Metazoa; Chordata; Mammalia; Primates; Hominidae. The record is from RNAcentral.